UGCCAGCACUGCCCUGCUCACAGCCACCCUGGUGCCACCAGGGCCAAGCUGGCAGCCAGCAGUGCUGCUGGCACUGUGGGAACACCUAAACCAGGGAUCAGUCCUGCUGUGCUCAGGAUGGAGCCUGGGAGCUCCUGGGAGCGUAUUGAUCCCUUCAGAGCUGCGCAGGUGGGAUUGCAGGAGCUGGGCUUAGCUUGGACACCACCAAUUCCAGCUCCAGGGUUGGAAGUGAAUUCAUCACCAUCAAUUCAUCACCCUGAAUUCAUCACCAUCAAUUCAUCACCAUCAAUUCAUCACCAUCAAUUCAUCACCAUCAAUUUCAACUCCAGGGUUGGAAGUGAAUUCAUCACCAUCAAUUCAUCACCAUGAAUUCAUCACCAUCAAUUCCAGCUCCAGGGCUGAAAGUGAAUUCAUCACCAUGAAUUCAUCACCAUCAAUUCCAGCUCCAGGGCUGAAAGUGAAUUCAUCACCAUGAAUUCAUCACCAUGAAUUCAUCACCAUCAAUUUCAGCUCCAGGGUUGAAAUUGAAUUCAUCACCAUCAAUUCAUCACCAUCAAUUCAUCACCAUCAAUUUCAGCUCCAGGAUUGAAAGUGAAUUCAUCACCAUCAAUUCAUCACCAUCAAUUCAUCACCAUCAAUUUCAGUUCCAGGGUUGGAACUGAAUUCAUCACCCUGAAUUCAUCACCAUCAAUUCAUCACCAUCAAUUCCAGCUCCAGGGCUGAAAGUGAAUUCAUCACCAUGAAUUCUUCACCAUCAAUUUCAGCUCCAGGGUUGUUCUUCCCUGGAAAGGGCUCCCUGAGCUGUGCAGGGGAUAAAAGCCACACCCCAGAUGACCUCAGCGCAGCUCUGCAGCAUCACAAUUCCAGCCUCACGCCCUGUGUCUCGCAGAGCACAGAAUGAAGGGCAGUAAAUGAAUGGAAGGAGCCUUGGAGGUGCUUUUUGCUGCUGUGUAAUUGGAGCCUCUCCUCUCGGUGCCGAUUCCUCCGGGGUCUCUAUGGAAACCAGGAGAUGAUCUGCUGCACGUGACCCCGAGCCUCCACAGACUCCAGAUGGCCACCAUUGUCCCCACUGUCCUGUGCCUGCCUUGGUUUUGGUUGCCAGGCAACUGGCUCUGCCAUUCUGACUUCUUUGGCACGGCUUUGGCCAGCUCAGGCUGGCUGGGUCACCCCAGCUCCUGCACCAGACAGUCCCAUUGAAAUGGGACUGAAAAAGCCACUAAACACCACAUUUUUCAUCAGAGUUUGUGUACCCUGCCAUUAGCAAAGCUCCAAGUGGCUGAAGGCUGCAAAUCUGUCCUGAGGAAGGGAAGGGAGACUUCACAAGAAUCCUGGGGCCAGAAAAUUCAUGGAUCUGCAACAGAGCUUCCAGCAGUGCUCCAUGAAGAGUCCAUCAAGAGCUGGGAAAAGCCAAAUAUUCCUGGCCAAAGAGGCAGAGUCACACCUGCACACAAAAAUGCUGGCACAUAAAAUAAAGAAAACAAGGAAAUUGUUGGA
This is a long non-coding RNA of Passer domesticus (house sparrow), 1494 nucleotides long. RefSeq lists it as uncharacterized. The record is from RefSeq and is a predicted model, not a curated record. The transcript is spliced from 2 exons. NCBI's taxonomy places the organism in Eukaryota, Metazoa, Chordata, Aves, Passeriformes, Passeridae.